AGUGAACGCUGGCGGUAGGCCUAACACAUGCAAGUCGAACGGCAGCACAGUAAGAGCUUGCUCUUACGGGUGGCGAGUGGCGGACGGGUGAGGAAUACAUCGGAAUCUACUUUUUCGUGGGGGAUAACGUAGGGAAACUUACGCUAAUACCGCAUACGACCUACGGGUGAAAGCAGGGGAUCUUCGGACCUUGCGCGAUUGAAUGAGCCGAUGUCGGAUUAGCUAGUUGGCGGGGUAAAGGCCCACCAAGGCGACGAUCCGUAGCUGGUCUGAGAGGAUGAUCAGCCACACUGGAACUGAGACACGGUCCAGACUCCUACGGGAGACAGCAGUGGGGAAUAUUGGACAAUGGGCGCAAGCCUGAUCCAGCCAUACCGCGUGGGUGAAGAAGGCCUUCGGGUUGUAAAGCCCUUUUGUUGGGAAAGAAAAGCAGCAGGUUAAUACCCCGCUGUUCUGACGGUACCCAAAGAUUAAGCACCGGCUAACUUCGUG
RNAcentral lists this ribosomal RNA (492 nucleotides) under uncultured bacterium. RNAcentral describes it as "partial 16S ribosomal RNA". It matches the Rfam family "Bacterial small subunit ribosomal RNA", at positions 29 to 507 of the family's 1533-position model. The record is from RNAcentral.